This 379-nucleotide RNase P RNA is filed under the name Lactococcus garvieae. RNAcentral describes it as "RNaseP_bact_a". It matches the Rfam family "Bacterial RNase P class B". From Rfam's summary of the family: Ribonuclease P (RNase P) is a ubiquitous endoribonuclease, found in archaea, bacteria and eukarya as well as chloroplasts and mitochondria. The record is from RNAcentral. Lineage: Bacteria; Bacillati; Bacillota; Bacilli; Lactobacillales; Streptococcaceae.
AACAGUUUUUGGAUAACUGCGUGAUACCUUUGGUAUCAUGAGGAAAGUCCAUGCUCGCACGGGCUGCGAUGCCCGUAGUGUUUGUGCUUGGUGAAACAAUAAACCAAGGUAGGAGUGUCAUGCCUAACGGCUGAAGAAAGUGCUAAGUCUUUUGAUAUGCAUGAGUAUUCUGUAAAAGUGCCAAAGAGACGAGGCUUGCUGGAAACGGUAAGAUUGGAACGUGGUAAACCCCUCAAGCGAGCAACCCAAACUUAUGGUCGGGGCACUUGACUAGCCGAAUUGAAGGCGUGGUCGAGGGGGAAGACUAUCUUCCCCAGACAGAUGGUUAUCGACGGUCGCAAGACCUGAACAAAACAUGGCUUAUAGAAAACUGUAUGAC